UCUGCUCCUGGUUCUUCAACAGCGUCAGCAUGAAGAACGAGGACCUGAUCAGCAAGUGUGGGGACGACGCACGCAUCUACAUAACGUUCCAGUACCAUCUCAUCAUCUUCGUGUUCAUCAUCUGCAUCCCCUCCCUGGGCGUCAUCCUGCCCCUCAACUACAUGGGGACUGUUCUGGAAUCGAGGAGUCACUUUGGUCGGACCACCAUUGCCAAUGUCUCCACAGAGGGUAAGCUCCUGUGGCUGCACAGCUUCCUGUCCGUCCUGUUCUUCAUCGUCAACUUCUUCUUCAUGGCUCAUCACAGCUUGGGGUUCGUGCCCAAGAAGAGCCAGAAGGUCUCAAGGACACUGAUGAUCACCUAUGUGCCCACGGACAUCGAAGACCCAGAAAUUAUCAUCAAGCAUUUUCAUGAGGCCUAUCCCGGGUGCGUCGUGACCAGGGUCCAUUUCUGCUACGACGUCCGGACCCUUAUUGACUUGGACGACCAGAGACGCCACGCCAUGCGGGGCCGGCUCUUCUACACAGCCAUGGCCAAGAAGACCGGGAAGGUGAUGAUCCGGAUCCACCCCUGCUCCCGCCUGUGCUUCUGCAAGUGCUGGACCUGCUUCAGGGAGGUAGACGCGGAGCAGUAUUACAGUGAGCUGGAGGAGCAGCUGACGGACGAGUUCAACGCCGAGCUCAACCGCGUCCCGCUGAAGCGGCUGGACCUGGUGUUUGUCACCUUCCAGGACUCGAGGAUGGUGAAGCGCAUCCGGGAGGAUUACAAGUUCAUCCAGUGCGGUGUGCACCCCCAGCAGUCCUCGGUGACCACCACUGUCAAAUCCUAUCACUGGAGGGUCGCUCCGGCCCCACACCCCAAAGACAUCAUUUGGCAGCACCUGUCUGUCCGCCGAUUCUUAUGGUGGGCUCGCUUCUUGGCGAUCAACAUCUUCCUCUUCUUCCUCUUCUUCUUCCUCACCACGCCCGCCAUCAUCAUCAACACCAUCGACAUGUACAACGUCACCCGCCCCCUCGAGAAGCUGCAGAGCCCGAUCGUGACCCAGUUCUUCCCCUCCCUGAUGCUCUGGGCUUUUACAGUGAUCCUGCCUCUGAUUGUCUACCUCUCCGCCUUCCUCGAGGCCCACUGGACCAGGUCCAGUCAGAAUCUGAUCAUAGUGCACAAGUGCUACGUCUUUCUGGUGUUCAUGGUGGUCAUUUUGCCCUCGAUGGGACUGACCAGUUUGGAUGUCUUUUUCCGCUGGCUCUUUGACAUCUACUAUCUGGAGCAGGCAUCCAUCCGGUUCCAGUGUGUGUUCCUGCCGGACAAUGGUGCCUUCUUCGUCAGCUACGUGAUCACGGCGUCCCUGCUCGGCACCGGCAUGGAGCUGCUGCGCCUGGGGUCCCUCUUCUGUUACAGCAUCCGCCUCUUCUUCUCCCGCUCGGAGCCCGAGCGAGCCCACAUCAGAAAGAACCAGGCCACGGACUUCCAGUAUGGGCGAGAGUAUGCCUGGAUGAUGAACGUGUUCAGUGUGGUGAUGGCCUACAGCAUCACCUGUCCCAUUAUCGUCCCCUUUGGGCUGCUGUACCUAUGCAUGAAACACCUGACAGAUCGCUACAAUAUGUACUAUUCCUACGCCCCCACCAAGCUGAACGAGCAGAUCCACAUGGCGGCUGUCUUCCAGGCCACCUUCGCCCCGCUGCUGGGUCUCUUCUGGAUGCUCUUCUUUUCCAUCCUGCGCUUAGGUGGGUCCCUUCCACAACAUCACCAUCUUCUCCCUGUCCACCCUCCUCAUUUCCAUCAUAAUUGCCAUCUUUGGCAUUUUUCUGAGGAAGCUUUGGAUGGUCUCCGACUACAAGCCUGAGGAAGACGAGAUCCAGACGGUGUUUGACAUGGAGCCAAGCAGCACGACCUCCACACCCACCUCCCUCCUGUAUGUGGCCACCGUGCUGCAGGAGCCAGAGUUGAACCUGACCCCAGCCUCCUCCCCAGCCAGGCACACCUAUGGCACCAUGAACAGCCAGCCGGAAGAGGGGGAAGAGGAGAGUGGUCUGAGGGGCUUUGCGGGGGAGAUGGACUCGGCCCAGUUCCAGGAAGGACUGGAACUGGAGGGCCAGAACCAGUACCACUGACUGGGACCCAAGGUCUCUGCUGGCCACUCGUCGGGGGCUUGGGGAGGACCCAGCAGGGGGAGGCAGGAGGGUGGCCUGGACCCCCUACUACCUCCUGCAGACUUUGGAAAAUUCCCCUGGAAACACCUGCCACGCCAGCCCUGGACCACGUGGAGACCCCACCCUGCUGAGCAGCUGGACCUGGAGGUGCUAGGCAGUACCGAGGGGCCCGAGUGGGAUGGAGGACACAGGCAAGCACCGCGUCGUGGACACAGAGACUGGAGGCCGGGGCACCUUCCUGGGGUCAAGAUGGAGAAGACACAUGCACGGGAGGAGGCAGGAAGAAUCCUGCCAAAGCUCUCCAGGGUCUUCACCGCCCAGCACCAGCUGCCCUUCCAAGGAGCUCCUGCUGCUGCCUCUCCCCGCCCGGCCCUGCAGUCUGAGGCCACAAAGGCAUGUGACUGGGCCUCGAGACAGGACACAGAUGGCCAUCUCACCACAGGGCCCAUGUGUGGGGCUCUGGAAAGAGAAGGCGUCUGCCCUCACCCAAGCAAGGGCCGCUGAGACUGGAGACCCGAAAAGAGGUGACUGAGCCCUUCCUGUUCCUCUGGCCUUGUCAAUGUCCCCAGGAGCAGCGGGCAGGCCCUCCUCCUCUCUAUUCAUACAAAGGUCUUGGGGCCUGGUUGCCUGGGGCUCAUUAAACAGACCCGAGUGCA
This is an RNA transcript of Carlito syrichta (Philippine tarsier), 2804 nucleotides long. It is a transcript of the gene named transmembrane protein 63C, with no coding region annotated. The record is from RefSeq and is a predicted model, not a curated record. The transcript is spliced from 19 exons. NCBI's taxonomy places the organism in Eukaryota, Metazoa, Chordata, Mammalia, Primates, Tarsiidae.